RNAcentral lists this ribosomal RNA (495 nucleotides) under uncultured bacterium. Its description in RNAcentral is "partial 16S ribosomal RNA". It matches the Rfam family "Bacterial small subunit ribosomal RNA", at positions 28 to 507 of the family's 1533-position model. The record is from RNAcentral.
GACGAACGCUGGCGGCGUGCCUAAUACAUGCAAGUAGAACGCUGAAGGAGGAUUUUGCUCUUAUGGAUGAGUUGCGAACGGGUGAGUAACGCGUAGGUAACCUGCCUGGUAGCGGGGGAUAACUAUUGGAAACGAUAGCUAAUACCGCAUAACAGUAGAUGUUGCAUGACAUUUACUUCAAAGGAGCAAUUGCAUCACUACCAGAUGGACCUUCGUUGUAUCAGCUAGGUGGUGGGGUAACGGCUCACCAAGGCGACGAUACAUAGGCGAACUGAGAGGGUGAGCUGCCACACUGGGACUGGGACACGGCCCAGGCUCCUACGGGAGGCAGCAGUAGGGAAUCUUCGGAAAUGGACGGGAGUCUGACCGAGCAACGCCGCGUGAGUGAAGAAGGUUUUCGGAUCGUAAAGCUCUGUUGUAAGAGAAGAACGAGUGUGGGAAUGGAAAGUUCACGCUGUGACGGUAUCUUACCAGAAAGGGACGGCUAACUACGUG